GACGAACGCUGGCGGCGUGCUUAACACAUGCAAGUCGAACGGAAAGGCCCUGCUUUUGUGGGGUGCUCGAGUGGCGAACGGGUGAGUAACACGUGAGUAACCUGCCCUUGACUUUGGGAUAACUUCAGGAAACUGGGGCUAAUACCGGAUAGGAGCUCCUGCUGCAGGGUGGGGGUUGGAAAGUUUCGGCGGUUGGGGGUGGACUCGCGGCUUAUCAGCUUGUUGGUGGGGUAGUGGCUUACCAAGGCUUUGACGGGUAGCCGGCCUGGGAGGGUGACCGGCCACAUUGCGACUGAGCUACGGCCCAGCCUCCUACGGGAGGCAGCAGUGGGGAAUAUUGCACAAUGGGCGGAAGCCUGAUGCAACAACGCCGCGUGCGGGAUGACGGCCUUCGGGUUGUAAACCGCUUUCGCCUGUGACGAAGCGUGAGUGACGGUAAUGGGUAAAGAAGCACCGGCUAACUACGUG
RNAcentral lists this ribosomal RNA (468 nucleotides) under uncultured bacterium. RNAcentral's name for it is "partial 16S ribosomal RNA". It matches the Rfam family "Bacterial small subunit ribosomal RNA", at positions 28 to 507 of the family's 1533-position model. The record is from RNAcentral.